AAGCGGCGGAGCAUGUGGCUUAAUUCGACGCAACGCGAAGAACCUUACCAAGGCUUGACAUACACCGGAAACACCCAGAGAUGGGUGCCGCCUUGUGGUCGGUGUACAGGUGGUGCAUGGCUGUCGUCAGCUCGUGUCGUGAGAUGUUGGGUUAAGUCCCGCAACGAGCGCAACCCUUGUCCCGUCUUGCCAGCAGGCCCUUCGU
This 205-nucleotide ribosomal RNA is filed under the name uncultured Streptomyces sp. Its description in RNAcentral is "partial 16S ribosomal RNA". It matches the Rfam family "Bacterial small subunit ribosomal RNA", at positions 927 to 1132 of the family's 1533-position model. Lineage: Bacteria; Bacillati; Actinomycetota; Actinomycetes; Kitasatosporales; Streptomycetaceae. The record is from RNAcentral.